RNAcentral lists this ribosomal RNA (1467 nucleotides) under Triticum aestivum (bread wheat). RNAcentral describes it as "partial small subunit ribosomal RNA". The record is from RNAcentral. Lineage: Eukaryota; Viridiplantae; Streptophyta; Magnoliopsida; Poales; Poaceae.
AUGAAGAUGCCGUUGAAAAUCUUGCCAACACCGUCGGAGCCUCACAUGAUGCGGUGCGUGAUGAGGAGAGGGAGGAAGAUUCAUCUUCGGAGGCGGAAGAGUCGUCUUCGGAAGAUGAGGACGAGGACGAAGACGAGGAAGAUGAAGAUUGAUUAUACGUGCCAGUCACCUACGCCGACCCAAAACCGGGCCGCCGGGCGCCUCCCAGCCCUCCACAAAAGAGAAGAGGAACGCCGCCUCCUCCCACGACGUACCCCGGCGGCGCAGCGCAGGCGGGAUGGGGAAGAGCGAGCUGAAGGCAAUGGCGAGCCGGAUGAAGGCAAGGGGCUGCAGAAGCUGCGGUGGUACUGCCAGGUGUGCGAGAAGCAGUGCCGCGACGAGAACGGCUUCGAGUGCCACUGCUCGUCGGAGUCGCACCGGCGGCAGAUGGCCGUCUUCGGCCAGGCCCCCGACCGCGCCAACGAGCGCUUCUCCGGCGAGUUCCUCGAGGCGUUCCUCGCCCUGCUCCGCCACGGCCACCGCGGCUCCCGCGUCGCCGCCACCGUCGUCUACAACGAGCUCGUCGCCGACCGCCGCCACGUGCACAUGAACUCCACGCGCUGGGCCACGCUCUCCGAGUUCGUCCAGUUCCUCGGCCGCCAGGGCCUCGCCAGGGUCGAGCACACGCCCAAGGGCUGGUUCAUCGCCUACGUCGACAGGGGCUCCGAGCAGGCCGCCAAGGCCGGGCUCAAGCGCAAGAGGGUCCAGUCCGAGGAGCUCGUCAUUGCCCGGCAGAUCGAGCGUGCCCAGAAGAAAUCCAUGGCCGAGGCCAAUGGUGAUGACAAUGGCGACCUCGGGAAGAUUGAGGAAGCGUAUUCGGAACAAGUCGAUGCUGAUCAAGAAGAGUUCAACAAGGCAACCGGGAAGGUUGCGAUCGCACUCCGGCGCGCUGCUCCGGCAACGCCUGAGGUUAAGCCAGAGAUGAAAUUUGGCUUGGAUGAAGAGGAGGAGGAGGUGAUCAACAACAAGGGGAAAGACGCAGGGAAAUCAACGGGUACGAGGAGGUCAGCCAUUGAUGAUCUGAUGGAGGAGGAGGCGAAGGCCAAGGAGCGGAGCAACCGGAAGGACCACUGGCUGUGCCCCGGCAUCGUGGUCAAGGUGAUGAGCAAAUCACUAGCCGAGAAGGGGCACCAUUACUACAAGCACAAGGGACUGGUGAAGAGGGUGAUAGACAGGUACGUCGGGGAGAUCGAGAUGCUGGAGAGCAAUCAUGUCGUCAGGGUCGACCAAGAUGAGCUUGAGACCGUCGUCCCGCGGAUCGGCGGGCUUGUGCGGAUCGUCAAUGGCGCCUACCGGGGAUCGAACGCGAGGUUGCUCUCGGUGGACACGGAGAAGUUCUCCGCCAAACUGCGGGUUGAGAAGGGCCUCUAUGAUGGGAGAGUUCUCGAGGCUGUCGAGUACGAGGACAUCUGCAAGAUUGCUGAUUAG